CUUUGGCUGCGGCUUACUACUGGGCUUUCCUUCGGAUUAUACUUAGCAACCGAUUUUGAUCGCCUUGCUUGGAACAACGUCCAGUGACAGCGAGCCAAUUCAAACGCUGCUCGCUCCGUUCGAUUCCUGGAAACAACGAGCUAACCUCUCUCUCUCUCUCUCUCUCUCUCUCUCUCUCUGCCUUCGUAGGCUUCCACUCGUCGUCAUCCUCUGACCUCUCGUCUUCGGCAAGUCUGCGUUCGUGGGGGUUGAAACGAAAGGCCUUGUAGUUUGUGUAUUCUGAUGGCGAGACGUUUUCUAUGCUUGGUCUCUAUCUUGUUCUUCAUGUACCCUUUCUUUAGCAGCCACGCCUUUGCGAAGUCACCCCUCCGGCGCCCCAUCACGGAUCAGGAGAUACGGACCAGAAAGGAUGAAUGCUAUACAGAUAUCCAAAGUGGGCUUUGGGGACUACAUUGCAAAUCUUCAAAGAUAAUGAAAGAGAAUUGUGCUUUGCGCUGUCUUUCUCCAGUUUGCUAUUCACUUGUCUAUGAAGGUGACCCUCUCGAAGAAGGAGAGAUAGAUUAUAUUCGAAGCCAGGAGUAUAAGUACUGCUUACACAACUUCAUGAAGACUAUGAGGUCCCCGAAGAAAAUUUUAUGAACGGGACACCAUUUAAUCUGAUUCUCUCUGCCGACAGAUAGAGAAAGAAGUGCUUACAUGCAUCUACAUAGGCCAAAUUCGAUAUGCCACAAUACUGAUAAAGUAUAGGAUACCGUAAAGUGUGUGAAUCUGUUAGCCUUUCAUACUUUCGUUGGGAGAGAGCUUGGAUGGUGUCAAGGGUUCCUUUAAUUAUUAGUGUCUUCCUGCAGCAAUUUGGUGUUUAUAAAAGCUGUGAAUUCUAGAGUAUUGCUAAAAGCUUGAUCAUUGUAAACACGAUCUCUUUUCUGAAGGAAAUGUAACAUAAGUUGCCUUCGUGUGACCAAGACAGUUCAGAAACAAUGUAAUGCGACUUAAAGCGCUCUAAGAAGUUUAGAACAGCCUUCUCUUGGACUACGCGAUAAUCUCAAGCCUUAACUAAAGGUAAAGAUCACUCUUCCUCUUUA
RNA transcript from Nymphaea colorata (pocket water lily), 1082 nucleotides. RefSeq lists it as uncharacterized. The record is from RefSeq and is a predicted model, not a curated record. Lineage: Eukaryota; Viridiplantae; Streptophyta; Magnoliopsida; Nymphaeales; Nymphaeaceae. The transcript is spliced from 7 exons.